Molecule: ribosomal RNA, 451 nt
Filed under: uncultured bacterium
Lineage: Bacteria
Description: partial 16S ribosomal RNA
Rfam family: Bacterial small subunit ribosomal RNA
Source: RNAcentral
AUUGAACGCUGGCGGCAGGCUUAACACAUGCAAGCCGAACGGGCGUAGCAAUACGUCAGUGGCAGACGGGUGAGGAACACGUGGGAAUAUCCCCUUCAGUUCGGAAUAACUCAGGGAAACUUGAGCUAAUACCGGAUACGUCAGAGAUGAGAAAGAUUUAUCGCUGAAGGAUUAGCCCGCGUCUGAUUAGCUAGUUGGUGAGGUAAUGGCUCACCAAGGCUACGAUCAGUAGCUGAUCUGAGAGGAUGAUCAGCCACAUUGGGACUUAGACACGACCCACAGUCCUGAGGGAGGCAGCAGUGAGGAAUAUUGGACAAUGUGCGCAAGCCUGAACCAGCCAUGCCGCGGGAGUCAUGAAGGCAUUCGGGUUGUAAAGCUCUUUUGUCCGGGAAGAUAAUGACGGUACCGGAAGAAUAAGCCCCGGCAAACUUCGUGCCAGCAGCCGCAGUAA